UAAUGUCUGGGAAACUGCCUGAUGGAGGGGGAUAACUACUGGAAACGGUGGCUAAUACCGCAUAAUGUCGCAAGACCAAAGUGGGGGACCUUCGGGCCUCAUGCCAUCAGAUGUGCCCAGAUGGGAUUAGCUAGUAGGUGGGGUAACGGCUCACCUAGGCGACGAUCCCUAGCUGGUCUGAGAGGAUGACCAGCCACACUGGAACUGAGACACGGUCCAG
RNAcentral lists this ribosomal RNA (220 nucleotides) under uncultured bacterium. RNAcentral's name for it is "partial 16S ribosomal RNA". It matches the Rfam family "Bacterial small subunit ribosomal RNA", at positions 111 to 334 of the family's 1533-position model. The record is from RNAcentral.